GACGAACGUUGGCGGCGUGCUUAACACAUGCAAGUCGAACGGAAAGGCCCUGCUUUUGUGGGGUGCUCGAGUGGCGAACGGGUGAGUAACACGUGAGUAACCUGCCCUUGACUUUGGGAUAACUUCAGGAAACUGGGGCUAAUACCGGAUAGGAGCUCCUGCUGCAUGGUGGGGGUUGGAAAGUUUCGGCGGUUGGGGAUGGACUCGCGGCUUAUCAGCUUGUUGGUGGGGUAGUGGCUUACCAAGGCUUUGACGGGUAGCCGGCCUGAGAGGGUGACCGGCCACAUUGGGACUGAGAUACGGCCCAGACUCCUACGGGAGGCAGCAGUGGGGAAUAUUGCACAAUGGGCGGAAGCCUGAUGCAGCAACGCCGCGUGCGGGAUGACGGCCUUCGGGUUGUAAACCGCUUUCGCCUGUGACGAAGCGUGAGUGACGGUAAUGGGUAAAGAAGCACCGGCUAACUACGUGCCAGCAGCCGCGGUGAUACGUAGGGUGCGAGCGUUGUCCGGAUUUAUUGGGCGUAAAGGGCUCGUAGGUGGUUGAUCGCGUCGGAAGUGUAAUCUUGGGGCUUAACCCUGAGCGUGCUUUCGAUACGGGUUGACUUGAGGAAGGUAGGGGAGAAUGGAAUUCCUGGUGGAGCGGUGGAAUGCGCAGAUAUCAGGAGGAACACCAGUGGCGAAGGCGGUUCUCUGGGCCUUUCCUGACGCUGAGGAGCGAAAGCGUGGGGAGCGAACAGGCUUAGAUACCCUGGUAGUCCACGCUGUAAACGGUGGGUACUAGGUGUGGGGUCCAUUCCACGGGUUCCGUGCCGUAGCUAACGCUUUAAGUACCCCGCCUGGGGAGUACGGCCGCAAGGCUAAAACUCAAAGGAAUUGACGGGGCCCCGCACAAGCGGCGGAGCAUGCGGAUUAAUUCGAUGCAACGCGUAGAACCUUACCUGGGUUUGACAUGGAUCGGGAGUGCUCAGAGAUGGGUGUGCCUCUUUUGGGGUCGGUUCACAGGUGGUGCAUGCCUGUCGUCAGCUCGUGUCGUGAGAUGUUGGGUUAAGUCCCGCAACGAGCGCAACCCUUGUUCACUGUUGCCAGCACGUUAUGGUGGGGACUCAGUGGAGACCGCCGGGGUCAACUCGGAGGAAGGUGGGGAUGACGUCAAGUCAUCAUGCCCCUUAUGUCCAGGGCUUCACGCAUGCUACAAUGGCUGGUACAGAGAGUGGCGAGCCUGUGAGGGUGAGCGAAUCUCGGAAAGCCGGUCUCAGUUCGGAUUGGGGUCUGCAACUCGACCUCAUGAAGUCGGAGUCGCUAGUAAUCGCAAAUCAGCAACGCUGCGGUGAAUACGUUCCCGGGGC
Molecule: ribosomal RNA, 1345 nt
Filed under: uncultured bacterium
Lineage: Bacteria
Description: partial 16S ribosomal RNA
Rfam family: Bacterial small subunit ribosomal RNA
Source: RNAcentral